GAUACUUGAAGCUAGGGCAAUCCAAGUAAGAUAGCUUCAUCCUCAGGCAACAGGUUUAUGUUAUCUUAUCAUGGAGUCAUUUUUAAGUUUGUGCCCAACGCCUUCAUCCUUAGAAUGGCUGCCCAGAUGGCAAGCCACCGUACUCAGGCGACUGCCGCGCUAGGUAUUCUCGACCACUGCUGCAGUUUUUCAUUGCCGUGCUUAUUCCAUUUGCACCAACCUUGCUAUUUAGUAAAAUGAACGUCUCUGUUUCUUCUACUACAAUGACAUGAUAAGAUUACCUUAUCCCUUUCAGCAGGGUGCUCCAACUUUUGAUGCUGGCGAAGCUUUUGGAAUGAUGGCUACAUAAUUUGUUAGUCUCCGUUGGAAGCUUAAUUAAACUGAGGUAAAUAUGCCAGAUUCUUUUGUCAAAUAAUAACAUGACUGUCUAUUUUGUUCUUAGGACCAAUAUCUGUGCCUAUCAAUGAAAUUUUGAGAGUAGUUUUUGGUGCCUCUAUGUAACCCUGAUAGCAGCUUCUCUGAAGGUUCAGAUGUGUGGCAAAGGAUUUCAAUUUUCCUGUUUACACAAAGGAAACUUGAGGAAGGUUCAGAUUUUUCAUGCUCGGUGCUGUGCUCUCAAGGUUACAUAGACAAAAAUGCCUCCUAUUUACACAACGGCAACCCGACGAAGGUUCAGAUUUCUCAUGACUGGUUCAAUGGGUAUUUCAUGCCUGUGCC
This 717-nucleotide long non-coding RNA is filed under the name Triticum aestivum (bread wheat). Its description in RNAcentral is "long non-coding RNA (TAES_LNC015303)". Lineage: Eukaryota; Viridiplantae; Streptophyta; Magnoliopsida; Poales; Poaceae. The record is from RNAcentral.